RNAcentral lists this ribosomal RNA (254 nucleotides) under uncultured bacterium. RNAcentral's name for it is "partial 16S ribosomal RNA". It matches the Rfam family "Bacterial small subunit ribosomal RNA", at positions 524 to 776 of the family's 1533-position model. The record is from RNAcentral.
GACGAACCGAGCGAACGUUGUUCGGAAUCACUGGGCGUAAAGCGCACGUAGGCGGCUUCUUAAGUCAGGGGGUGAAAUCCUGGAGCUCAACUCCAGAACUGCCUUUGAUACUGAGUAGCUUGAGUCCGGGAGAGGUGAGUGGAACUGCGAGUGUAGAGGUGAAAUUCGUAGAUAUUCGCAAGAACACCAGUGGCGAAGGCGACUUACUGGACACAUAUUGACGCUGAGGUGCGAAAGCGUGGGGAGCAAACAGG